CUGAGUAGCAAUACAAGGGGAAGACCUAGUGGCGAACGGGUGAGUAUCACGUGAGAAACCAACCCCGGUCUCUGGGAUAACAGUUGGAAACGACUGCUAAUACUGGAUGUCGUCGUACCCUCGCAUGGGGGGAUGACGAAAGGGUUACCGGAUCGGGACGGUCUCGCGGCCUAUCAGCUUGUUGGGGAGGUAACGGCUCACCAAGGCUUCGACGGGUAGCUGGUCUGAGAGGAUGAUCAGCCACACUGGGACUGAGACACGGCCCAGACUCCUACGGGAGGCAGCAGUGGGGAAUCUUGCGCAAUGGGCGAAAGCCUGACGCAGCAACGCCGCGUGCGGGAUGAAGGCCUUCGGGUUGUAAACCGCUUUUAACAGGAACGAAAAUGACGGUACCUGUAGAAUAAGGUGCGGCCAACUACGUGCCAGCAGCCGCGGUGACACGUAGGCACCAAGCGUUGUCCGGAUUUAUUGGGCGUAAAGAGCUCGUAGGCGGUUCAGUAAGUCGGGUGUGAAAACUCUGGGCUUAACCCA
This 531-nucleotide ribosomal RNA is filed under the name uncultured Actinomycetes bacterium. Its description in RNAcentral is "bacterial SSU rRNA". It matches the Rfam family "Bacterial small subunit ribosomal RNA", at positions 72 to 616 of the family's 1533-position model. The record is from RNAcentral. Lineage: Bacteria; Bacillati; Actinomycetota; Actinomycetes.